This 29-nucleotide non-coding RNA is filed under the name Rattus norvegicus (Norway rat). Lineage: Eukaryota; Metazoa; Chordata; Mammalia; Rodentia; Muridae. The record is from RNAcentral.
UGGCUCUUUGGAUUGGUUGUGCCAGCUUU